This 572-nucleotide ribosomal RNA is filed under the name uncultured bacterium. Its description in RNAcentral is "partial 16S ribosomal RNA". It matches the Rfam family "Bacterial small subunit ribosomal RNA", at positions 355 to 920 of the family's 1533-position model. The record is from RNAcentral.
UGGGGAAUUUUGGACAAUGGGCGAAAGCCUGAUCCAGCAAUGCCGCGUGUGUGAAGAAGGCCUUCGGGUUGUAAAGCACUUUUGUCCGGAAAGAAAUCCUUGGCUCUAAUACAGUCGGGGGAUGACGGUACCGGAAGAAUAAGCACCGGCUAACUACGUGCCAGCAGCCGCGGUAAUACGUAGGGUGCAAGCGUUAAUCGGAAUUACUGGGCGUAAAGCGUGCGCAGGCGGUUUGCUAAGACCGAUGUGAAAUCCCCGGGCUCAACCUGGGAACUGCAUUGGUGACUGGCAGGCUAGAGUAUGGCAGAGGGGGGUAGAAUUCCACGUGUAGCAGUGAAAUGCGUAGAGAUGUGGAGGAAUACCGAUGGCGAAGGCAGCCCCCUGGGCCAAUACUGACGCUCAUGCACGAAAGCGUGGGGAGCAAACAGGAUUAGAUACCCUGGUAGUCCACGCCCUAAACGAUGUCAACUAGUUGUUGGGGAUUCAUUUCCUUAGUAACGUAGCUAACGCGUGAAGUUGACCGCCUGGGGAGUACGGUCGCAAGAUUAAAACUUAAAUGAAUUGNCGGGGUC